CAAUAUUCUCUCACAACAAAAAUCCUACAGAAAGCUUAUUGCAUCAGCUCUUCAUUUCAGUCCACUUGUUUGAUCAUUGCCCCUCAGUGCAAUAAAAAUCCCAUUAGAAUCACACAGGUAAUGAGAAAAAAAAAGCAGGUGAGAGGAGGUCUGGAGACACACAGCAGCACCUAAAAGAGUGGGAGGGAGGAGGACCCAGAGGCCGGGAGCAGCAUCUGAAAGAACUAUAAUCCAUGGGUCCAGUGUGGACUGACCGUGUUCUGAGAAAAAUCAAAGUGUGACGUCACAGGAAAAGAGGUGGUUGAUUGAUUGCUGUGUACAUAACAGAAGAACGUAUACAAUCAGAACAAAUAAAGAACACCAGUAAAGUCAACUACUCUAAAUAUAGUUACAACCCUGUGGGAGGAAAAUGAAAGAAGUAUAGCAUCAGCGGAGCAGGGGUGGGAGAAACAGCAGCAGUGGCCCCCUUCUCACAGCUGAGGGCCCUGAAGUCACGGACUCACCAGCAUCACACCAUCUCUGCCAGGCAAAUGCAGGAAAUGCGG
Long non-coding RNA from Carcharodon carcharias (great white shark), 545 nucleotides. RefSeq lists it as uncharacterized. The transcript has 3 exons. NCBI's taxonomy places the organism in Eukaryota, Metazoa, Chordata, Chondrichthyes, Lamniformes, Lamnidae. The record is from RefSeq and is a predicted model, not a curated record.